This 432-nucleotide ribosomal RNA is filed under the name uncultured bacterium. RNAcentral describes it as "partial 16S ribosomal RNA". It matches the Rfam family "Bacterial small subunit ribosomal RNA", at positions 29 to 507 of the family's 1533-position model. The record is from RNAcentral.
ACGAACGCUGGCGGCAUGCCUAACACAUGCAAGUCGAACGCGACCUUCGGGUCUAGUGGCGCACGGGUGCGUAACGCGUGGGAAUCUGCCCUUCGGUUGGGAAUAACUGAGAGAAAUUUCAGCUAAUACCUUAUAAUGUCUUCGGACCAAAGAUUUAUCGCCGAGGGAUGAGCCCGCGUAGGAUUAGGUAGUUGGUGGGGUAAUGGCCUACCAAGCCGACGAUCCUUAGCUGGUCUGAGAGGAUGAUCAGCCACACUGGGACUGAGACACGGCCCAGACUCCUACGGGAGGCAGCAGUGGGGAAUAUUGGACAAUGGGCGAAAGCCUGAUCCAGCAAUGCCGCGUGAGUGAUGAAGGCCUUAGGGUUGUAAAGCUCUUUUACCCGGGAUGAUAAUGACAGUACCGGGAGAAUAAGCGCCGGCUAACUCCGUG